CCUACGGGAGGCUGCAGUGGGGAAUAUUGGACAAUGGGGGCAACCCUGAUCCAGCCAUGCCGCGUGUGUGAAGAAGGCCCUCGGGUUGUAAAGCACUUUCAGUGAGGAAGAACGCCUGGUGGUUAAUACCCAUCAGGAAAGACAUCACUCACAGAAGAAGCACCGGCUAACUCCGUGCCAGCAGCCGCGGUAAUACGGAGGGUGCGAGCGUUAAUCGGAAUUACUGGGCGUAAAGCGCGCGUAGGUGGCUUGAUAAGCCGGUUGUGAAAGCCCCGGGCUCAACCUGGGAACGGCAUCCGGAACUGUCAAGCUAGAGUGCAGGAGAGGAAGGUAGAAUUCCCGGUGUAGCGGUUAAAUGCGUAGAGAUCGGGAGGAAUACCAGUGGCGAAGGCGGCCUUCUGGACUGACACUGACACUGAGGUGCGAAAGCGUGGGUAGCAAACAGGAUUAGAUACCCUGGUAGUC
Molecule: ribosomal RNA, 465 nt
Filed under: Vreelandella stevensii
Lineage: Bacteria; Pseudomonadati; Pseudomonadota; Gammaproteobacteria; Oceanospirillales; Halomonadaceae
Description: partial 16S ribosomal RNA
Rfam family: Bacterial small subunit ribosomal RNA
Source: RNAcentral